CCAAAGGUUCCAAGAGGUCAAAAAGGUUCCAAAUGGGUAUUCACUAUAAAGGAUAAGACUCUAUAUAAGGCACGGUAAGGCACCCACUAAAAGACAAUUCAACCAAGUCAAAUGCUAUAACUGUGGAGGAAUAGGACACUACCAGACUGAAUGCCCACUGAAAACNACGGUAAGGCACCCACUAAAAGACAAUUCAACCAAGUCAAAUGCUAUAACUGUGGAGGAAUAGGACACUACCAGACUGAAUGCCCACUGAAAACGUCUAAAGAUUAUGUAUCAAAUACACAGAAUAAUCUGUACAUAUCACAAGAAGUGGUUUUUGUAUGGGAUUCAGGAAGUCCAGUGCAUAUUGAGAACCGACUAAAUUACUUCCAGACAUUUGUUGAAGACACCCGUCUGUUCUCGGCCGCAAAUGAUACACCCAAGAACAGAAGUCUUAUUAACAAAGGUAUACUACUUUGCUAAAGCGGCAGAAAACCUAUUCUCUCCAGAUGCUGCAAUAAAGGAAUUCCCUACGGAUCUGUGAACCGACUAAAUUACUUCCAGAGAUGACCAGGACAGUUUCUUAGCAAACACAAGGCGGAUUCCAUUGACAGUUCUCAUACCAGCAACGGAAGGCACGUUAUUCUAAGGAUUGACAGAUUGAGAGGUCUUUCUUGAUUUUGUGGGUGGUGGUGCAUGGCCGUUCUUAGUUGGUGGAGUGAUUUGUCUGCUUAAUUGCGAUAACGAACGAGACCUUAACCUUUAAAUAGGUCCAUUAGCUUUUUGCUGAAAGGAACUUCUUAAAGGGACCACUAAAAAAAAUCAUUUGAAGUUUGAGGCAAUAACAGGUCUGUGAUGCCCUUAGACGUUCUGGGCCGCACGCGCGCUACACUGACGGAGGCAACGAGUUGACCUUAGCCGAAAGGUUUGGGAAAUCUGUAAACUCCGUCGUGAUGGGGAUAAAGCAUUGAAAUUAUUGCUUUUGAACGAGGAAUUCCUAGUAAGCGUAAGUCAUUAACUUGCGUUGAUUACGUCCCUGCCCUCUGUACACACUGCCCGUCGCUACUACCGAGGAAUGGCUUAGUGAGAAUUUUGGAGAGAUUUAUUUAGAGGCGACUCUUUUUAAAUUUCAAAGUUAUUCAAACUUGGUGAAUUAGAGGAAGUUAAAGUCGUAACAAGGUUUCCGUAGGUGAACCUGCGGAAG
RNAcentral lists this ribosomal RNA (1186 nucleotides) under Metschnikowia hamakuensis. RNAcentral's name for it is "bacterial SSU rRNA". The stretch from base 556 to 1186 matches the Rfam family "Eukaryotic small subunit ribosomal RNA", at positions 1118 to 1823 of the family's 1831-position model. The record is from RNAcentral. Lineage: Eukaryota; Fungi; Ascomycota; Pichiomycetes; Serinales; Metschnikowiaceae.